Long non-coding RNA from Vombatus ursinus (common wombat), 1002 nucleotides. RefSeq lists it as uncharacterized. The transcript has 2 exons. The record is from RefSeq and is a predicted model, not a curated record. Lineage: Eukaryota; Metazoa; Chordata; Mammalia; Diprotodontia; Vombatidae.
CGCCAGAGAGAAACCGGGGCGUCUGCCCUGGCUGACUGAGCCUAGGCCGUGCCUGGGGGCUGAGGGAAACAGGGCCUUGGCCUUCUCUGGCCCAGCCAGGGGUCGCAAGGGGAGCCCCCGUCCCCGCCUGAGGCCACAGGGCCCCCACUCUUCAUCAUCCUCGAGUUAGCUGCGUCCUCUCCAUAAUUAGUUUGUGUUCCAUUGGCUGAGCUCCUCCUCCUCUUCCUCACCAUCAUCCUCCUCCUCCUCCUGCAGCUGCUACCUCUCCCUUGGAGGGGACCAUCCUGGUGCCGUUUUUGUAAAGCAGUGGCUGAGGAGACCCCGGGACUCGCCAUGGACAACAAAAAGCCAGGGGAAGGCGUGGAGACUGAAAACAACGGCCGCAUUAAUUUGAAGGUGGUAGGGGAAGAUGGUUCGGUGGUGCAGUUUAAUAUUAAGAAGUACACAUCACUUGGUAAACUAAUGAAAGCCUAUUGUCAACGACAGGGUUUGUCAAUGGGGCAGAUCAGGUUCCUAUUUGAUGGGCAACCAAUCAAUGAAACAGAUACACCUGAAAAGUUGGAGAUGGAGGAUGAAGAUAUAAUUGAUGUAUUCCAGCAGCAGGCAGGAGGCCCUUACUAGAAAGAGAACAUGUAACUCUGCUCCAGAACUGUGCUCGCAAGGAAAACAAUACAUUCAUAAUUAGAAAACCAAGAUUUGGUUCAUCCACAUUCUGACUACUGCAGUAUAGUUUUCUCUCUUCUUUGAUGCCCUUCCCCCAUUCCUUUAUCGUACAUAAAGUAACUGGUGUAUGUGCACAGGCAUAAUGCGUGUUUUUUUUUUUUUUUUUAACUAAAUGGCUGAUGGUAUGUUAUGAUCAACAUCAAAUGGAGAUGGGGAGGGGAAAAAACAAACUGCUUCUGUGAAAAUAUCUGUUUUCUCCAUUAGUGGCAUGCUCAUUCAACUUUUAUCUUUAUAUUCCAGUAAGUUAUUUUGCUCUCACUGUUUAACAACAACAAAAAC